RNAcentral lists this ribosomal RNA (393 nucleotides) under Blastocystis hominis. RNAcentral describes it as "SSU rRNA". It matches the Rfam family "Eukaryotic small subunit ribosomal RNA", at positions 524 to 907 of the family's 1831-position model. The record is from RNAcentral. Lineage: Eukaryota; Bigyra; Opalinata; Blastocystidae.
UGUACAACUCUUAUCGAUAAACCUUUGGAGGGCAAGUGUGGUGCCAUCAGCCGCGGUAAUUCCAGCUCCAAUAGCGUAUAUUAACGUUGUUGCAGUUAAAAAGCACGUAGUUGAAUUGUGAUUGAUCCUGACUGAGUAACUUCGGUCAGUCAGAAGUUUACUACCCCCAUCCACUCUCCCGCAGUGGGUAUUCAAUUACUUACUAUUGUGUGUUGGUCCUAUGCUGCGAGAAAGUUUAAUUGUUUAAAUCAUGCGUUUUCAAUGUAGCAAGCAUACGCAAAGAUAUCAGACUUAAUUGGAAGCGCGGAUUUACUCUGCGAUUUGAUUGUGCGAUCUCGGAUCAUGGAAGCAAGGUUAAAAGGAACAGUAGGGGGUAUUCAUAUUCACUACUUA